GACCGCGUAGUUCAGUUGGCAGAGCAUUGGGCUAGUAUUCCAAAGGUCGUAGGUUCGAUUCCCACCGUGGUCA
RNAcentral lists this transfer RNA (73 nucleotides) under Paramuricea clavata. It matches the Rfam family "tRNA". Rfam says of the family: Transfer RNA (tRNA) molecules are approximately 80 nucleotides in length. Lineage: Eukaryota; Metazoa; Cnidaria; Anthozoa; Malacalcyonacea; Plexauridae. The record is from Rfam by way of RNAcentral.